UGAAUAAAUCUUUUUAGUAUUUUCUUUAGAUAAAUAAAAUUAGAGAAAUAAGAAAGAAAGGAAUUGGCAGGAUUUUGUUUACACGUGGAUUGCAUUUGUCAAUAACCAAGACUUACUCUCUAAGCUAAAACUAGAAGCUAAAUAUCUCUCUCUAAGCUAAAGAACUUAAAAUCCCUAAAAAUAUUGAGAGAGAAAUCCAAAUGUGUUGACAGUCGAAUGGUGGUAGAAAUUUAAGGAUAUUUAUACCAAUUGUGUUCGAACGAGGUGAGAAAAGUUGGCAGAUCCAAGCCUUCUUCUACUUGUGAGGAAAACACAGCAUAUGGUAGAUUCAAAGCACCAAGCCUAAGGUGGGACGACAGUCCAAUAAUUACAAGAGCACAGUUAGAUGCAGAAGCACUAAGCAAGAAGGAAAAAUGAAAGCAAAUUCAAAGGAACCAUAAGAUACAUCUUUCUCAACAGUAAUUGGAAGUCAAUCAUCUUAGUGCAGUAAUGCAAGGAAUCCACCUUGGAGGGUAUAAUGUGUUUGAGUGACUUUUGAUGGUUUUUUUUAGUACAUAGCCGGUAGUUGUUAUGGCACAAUCAUUUUGGAAUUGGGGUACAUUUUGGCACUUUUUAGCAUAAAGAUCAACUUAGGAGUAUAUAAUGACACUUUUUGAUAUAAAGAUCAACUUAGGGAUAUAUAGUGACACUUUUUGGUUUAUAAACUGGAUUAGAGGUAUAAUUUGGCAGUUGAUAUAUAUAUUGGCAGAUCUUGAUACA
Ricinus communis (castor bean) is the source of this 759-nucleotide long non-coding RNA. RefSeq lists it as uncharacterized. The record is from RefSeq and is a predicted model, not a curated record. The transcript has 2 exons. NCBI's taxonomy places the organism in Eukaryota, Viridiplantae, Streptophyta, Magnoliopsida, Malpighiales, Euphorbiaceae.